Molecule: non-coding RNA, 248 nt
Organism: Arachis ipaensis
Lineage: Eukaryota; Viridiplantae; Streptophyta; Magnoliopsida; Fabales; Fabaceae
Source: RefSeq, a predicted model, not a curated record
GACGGACGACGGAGAACGGUUGAGCGCAACGGACGACGGCGAACAGGCGACUGAUGAGAGCGAACAGGGGAUGGAGAGCGAACAGGUGACUGAUGAGAGUGAACAGGGGAUGGUGAGAGAGAAGGGUUAGUGAGAUCGAAGUAGCGAACGCUGAUAGCACGAAGACGGAAGUUCUUGAGUGCAACGGAGGCGGCAGCAGCAGUUUCCCACUCCGACAGACGGCGACAAGAUUGGUGGAGGCUAGGGUU